RNAcentral lists this ribosomal RNA (541 nucleotides) under uncultured bacterium. Its description in RNAcentral is "bacterial SSU rRNA". It matches the Rfam family "Bacterial small subunit ribosomal RNA", at positions 777 to 1320 of the family's 1533-position model. The record is from RNAcentral.
AAUAGAUACCCAGGUAGUCCACCCGUAAACGUUGGGAACUAGUUGUGGGUCCUUUCCACGGAUUCCGUGACGCAGCUAACGCAUUAAGUUCCCCGCCUGGGGAGUACGGCCGCAAGGCUAAAACUCAAAGGAAUUGACGGGGACCCGCACAAGCGGCGGAGCAUGCGGAUUAAUUCGAUGCAACGCGAAGAACCUUACCAAGGCUUGACAUACACCGGAAACGGCCAGAGAUGGUCGCCCCGCAAGGUCGGUGUACAGGUGGUGCAUGGUUGUCGUCAGCUCGUGUCGUGAGAUGUUGGGUUAAGUCCCGCAACGAGCGCAACCCUCGUUCUAUGUUGCCAGCACGUAAUGGUGGGAACUCAUGGGAUACUGCCGGGGUCAACUCGGAGGAAGGUGGGGAUGACGUCAAAUCAUCAUGCCCCUUAUGUCUUGGGCUUCACGCAUGCUACAAUGGCCGGUACAAAGGGCUGCAAUACCGUGAGGUGGAGCGAAUCCCAAAAAGCCGGUCCCAGUUCGGAUUGAGGUCUGCAACUCGACCUCA